This 462-nucleotide ribosomal RNA is filed under the name uncultured bacterium. RNAcentral's name for it is "bacterial SSU rRNA". It matches the Rfam family "Bacterial small subunit ribosomal RNA", at positions 28 to 507 of the family's 1533-position model. The record is from RNAcentral.
GAUGAACGUUGGCGGUGUGCCUAAUACAUGCAAGUCGAACGGAGUUAAUAGCAAUAUUGACUUAGUGGCGAACGGGUGAGUAACGCGUUGGUGAUCUGCCUUGAAGUGUGGAAUAACGCUCCGAAAGGAGCGCUAAUACCGCAUGUGCUCUCAAUUUUUUAGAAACUUGAGAGGAAAGGAUUUAUUCGCUUCGAGAGGAGCCUGCGUCCCAUCAGCUGGUUGGUAGGGUAAAGGCCUACCAAGGCAAUGACGGGUAGGGGACCUGAGAGGGUGGCCCCCCACAAUGGAACUGAAACACGGUCCAUACACCUACGGGUGGCAGCAGUAGGGAAUAUUAGAAAUGGACGAAAGUCUGAUCUAGCAACACCGCGUGUGCGAAGAAGGCCUUCGGGUCGUAAAGCACUUUUUGGAAGGAAUAGGAAGGAAUAGUACUUCCAGAAUAAAGUCUCGGCUAACUACGUG